RNAcentral lists this long non-coding RNA (454 nucleotides) under Cavia porcellus (domestic guinea pig). RNAcentral's name for it is "lncRNA (ENSCPOG00000032279.1)". Lineage: Eukaryota; Metazoa; Chordata; Mammalia; Rodentia; Caviidae. The record is from RNAcentral.
AAGGAGAAAGUAAGGGAGGGAAGCGGGAAGGGCGGGCGGGUGGGUGUGUCUGGGGCCGGGAACGGCCUCCACCCCCGCCGCCAGCGCUGCCUGCCUGAGGGGAGAGGGGCGCGGAGCCCGGACGGAGGCGAGGUGGUCCAUUCAGCCCUGGCCCUGUCAGGUCUAUGAGGACGAAGGUAUUUCCGGAAGUGUGGAGAUCUCCUCGCUGUCUUGACUAGAUCCUAAGGUAUGUAGAAGCAUGUAAGGUAAGCAAGUAAGUUCUUAAGGUAUGUAGAAGCUCUGUCCUGGACUCAGUCCUCAUGACCCUUCUGUGAGACAGAAGUGAACAAAGCCAUUUUACAGGUGAGGAAACAGACUUGGUGAGGUUAAGUGGUUCAGGCACACACUAGAGUGUAGAGCUGAGAUGGCAAUGACUGGCCUCGUGUCUGGGGCAUAUUUCUGUGCAAGAAGCAGC